Molecule: non-coding RNA, 113 nt
Organism: Acanthosepion pharaonis
Lineage: Eukaryota; Metazoa; Mollusca; Cephalopoda; Sepiida; Sepiidae
Source: the annotation of a GenBank genome assembly
UUACGACCACAUCACGUUGAUACACCGAUUCCCGUACGAUCACCGAAGUUAAGCAACGUCGAGCCUGGUUAGUAUCUAGAUGAGUGACCGUUGGGAAUACCAGGUCCUGUAAG